AUGACAGGAGAGUUCCAGAAGAGUUUGGGAGGAGGGACUGAUGACACGUUUUCGUGGUUGACUAACUUUUUUAAAAAAGCCACCUACAAGGGCCCAUCAACCAGUCAGCGAAUCCACUUGUUCCAGCGGGGGUGGGGCGGGGGGUGGAGCGUGGGGAGGAGCGAGCCAGCUCGGGGAUCCCCGCCUUCCCAGUGUGGCGGUGCGUGCCGUCCCCGCUCUGGGCCCUGCCACCUAAACGCACACCCCACCCGGGCCUCCUGGGCCACCUCGAAGACCUCCCACUCCGGACUCCUGGAGAUUCCUCCAGCCCGAGUCCCGCCGAGGGCGUCCCCGACUCCGCGCGAUCCGCCCUCCUCCUCCCGCGUCCCCGCCCCCUGCCGGGGCCGCGGGGCGCCGAGGGAGACGAGGGUGCCGCCUGUGGAAAUGAGCGGUGCCCGGAGGCUGGCCCGGAGCUGCAGUUCCAGUUUCAGCGAGAUGUAAUUGACACACAGCCCCGCACAAGUUGAAGGAAGACAGCGUCAUGACUUGACGUACACGUAGUGUGAAGCGCACGACCUUUCAGAGCAGGUAAGAAGCUUAGAAAACAGGAGCCGAGAAAAUAAACAGCAAAUUAAGGCAUUCCUAAAUAUAUACCAGAUGAUGGCAGAGAACAACUCUGUUCUGAGACAUUAUUAUUGUGGGAACAGUGAAAAUAAAUGCAGAGUUGAUCUUGCAUUAAUCAAGAUUUUGAAAAGUAAUGGGUGAGAUAAACACUUGCAUUGGGCUGUCUGUUUUCUACGGAGACAUACAAUUUCAGAGUCAUUCAUAGGGAGGGAAAUUUGACUGUGAAAUCAUGAAUACUGGCAUUGCUUUCAGCAAGCUCUCUGUUCUUGCCAGUGUGUGGCUUAUGUAAUUAAUUUCCUCGUAUAAUCCCUGUUUUUAAAAAAACUAGAUGGAUCGGGGCGCCUGGGUGGCUCAGUCGGUUAAGCCUCCGGCUUCGGCUCAGGUCAGAUCUCACAUUCGUGGGUUCGAGCCCCGCGUCAGGCUUUGUGCUGACAGCUAGCUCAGAGCCUGGAGCCUGCUUCCGGGUCUGUGUCUCCUUCUCUCUCUGCCCCUCCCCCUCUCAUGCUCUGUCUCUCUCUGUAUUAAAAAUAAAUAAAACAUUAAAAAAUUAAAAAAAACUAGAUGGAUCAUGAAGUGACUUGAUCCUUUCAUGCUCAUCACAACAUAUAGUCAUUAAAAUAUAACACAGGUAAUUCCCGGUUCCCUAGUAGCUCUUACUGCCUUCGUGGGCUGCAGUGUUUAAGAAGCCAGUUUUGCAGUUGACCACACUGGGCAUUCUACAGGAUUCCGUCUUUCUAAGAAUGUAUUAGAUCUGCUUUUUUAGAUAGAACCUAGCCCCUGUCAGUUUACUAGCUGCCUACCACGUGACUAAACUGAGUUUUCAGAUGCUUUGAGUGGAAUGUAGAAGACUAUUUGUUUACUAAAAAAGCAAACAUGAAAACUCCAAGCCUUACGGUUAAACUCCUAUCAGUUUACCUUUAAUUACCUCCUGAAGUGCCUGUUAAUGAUUCAUUACUUAUAAAAAUAAAUUAUAGGGACCCUGCAACCCUGUUUGUAAGUUUCUUUAAAGUUUUUGAUUUGGCCGCUGCCAGGAAAAUUGGUGUGUGGCAGAAACACG
Molecule: long non-coding RNA, 1660 nt
Filed under: Suricata suricatta (meerkat)
Lineage: Eukaryota; Metazoa; Chordata; Mammalia; Carnivora; Herpestidae
Description: lncRNA (ENSSSUG00005000056.1)
Source: RNAcentral